This 2243-nucleotide long non-coding RNA is filed under the name Cucumis sativus (cucumber). RNAcentral's name for it is "long non-coding RNA (CSAT_LNC001912)". The record is from RNAcentral. Lineage: Eukaryota; Viridiplantae; Streptophyta; Magnoliopsida; Cucurbitales; Cucurbitaceae.
CUUAAAGAGAAAUCAAUUACCGAGAGAGGUAAAGGAUCAACAUUUUAUUAGAUUGCCCAUUUUAUGGGUACACUCCUAGGGCUUUUUUGUUGAGUUCAAGGCAGUGCUGUUUUGUUGGAUGAGGCACGGAUGUACUACUACUUUGAGCACUUAGUAUUGGACAUUGGAAAACUACUUGAACAUGCUUUGCAUAUGUGAUUUUGGAUGGCCCAUGGCCCACUGUGAUGUAAAUAUCGAGCCACCUUUCAUACUCCUGCUGAUCCUGAAUAUCAUGAGUGAAUUAAUUGAAGUUGAUUAACAUUCUCUGCAUGAGAAAGUAACAAGGCAUAGUCUCUAUAAGAUGAAUGAAAACUAAAGUCAUAUAUUUUACACACGUGUGCUUUCUUUGUUCCAUUUUAGAGGUUCAUCGUGCCAAAAAUGAAAAAAUAAAAAAUAAAAAAUGCUUCUGUGGUUUUAUAAAUGUAGAGCUUCUUGUUUGCUUUUAUGGUUAGAAGGGAUUAAGGAGUAACUGCUUCUUCACUAGUGGAGCUCAGUUCUUACCAUUGCAUUUAACUUGGUGUAAGUGAUUCUUGCCCUCUAACAACAGAUGUGUUAUGAUAUAUAUAUAUAUACAUAUGUCCUUUAUUGUAAUUUUACUUAGUCUCUAGGGUUUAGUUUAUUCUCUAUAUAAAUAUGUAACAUUGCUUUGACUCAAUCAGAAUAAGACAUAUACGUUUCUGAAUUCUAAAUUACAUGGUAUCAGAGCCCUCCAUUAGGUUUGGAGUUUGGGUUACCUUCCGGUGACCAUUUGUCAACCUCCAUUAGGUUUGGAGUUUGGGUUACCUUCCGGUGACCAUUUGUCGACACUGCCCAUACCAUAAGAAGCACCACCUCCGUCCGCCCAAGUCUGUCUUCGCCGAUCGCCGGAAAACACCGCGCGUGACCUUCACGCGCCGCCGGAAUCAUCGUCACCUUCACCCACGCGCCGGCGCGUGAGAGCGCGUGAGAAGUCCGAUUUGUCUUCUGUCUUCUGGGCUUGUCUCGAACCAUUGUUUCCUGCCAGUCUGUACCAUUGGGUCUAUCAAAUAACAUUCGGGUUUGACGAAAACCGAAGGUUACACGAUUGGUUUUGUGUCUUUUUCCAAUUUUGCAGCUGUUUGGAUUGAUUUUCUCUUUGUUCGAGUGGACUACAAUCAACGUGUGACUUCAAUAUGGCCGACAUAAAAAAUUUGGUAGUCUCCAACGUUAUUCCCUUGGCCUCUAAGAUCACAGAACAUAAGUUAAAUGGAUCCAAUUAUUACGAUUGGCGUCGGACAAUUUUAUUUUAUUUGAGAAGUACUGAUAUGGAUGAUCAUAUGACUGAAGAUCCCCCAAAAGAUGCAAAGCAGAAGAAGGAUUGGCUUCGUGAUGAUGCCCGUUUAUAUCUUCAGAUCAAGAAUUCAAUUGAGAGUGACUCGACCAGACAUUGCAUAUUCUGUAAGUGUUGUAAGUCAAUUCAUGUCUUCCCCUACAGUGGAUCAUUGGGCUGCAGUAGAGCAGAUUUUGUGUUAUCUAAAAGCUGCUCCUGGACGUGGGAUCCUAUACAAAGAUCAUGGACAUACGAGAGUUGAAUGUUUUUCUGAUGCUGAUUGGGCGGGGUCUCGUGAGGAUAGGAGAUCGACUUCUGGAUAUUGUGUCUUUGUAGGUGGAAACUUAGUUUCAUGGAAGAGUAAGAAACAAAAUGUUGUUUCUCGUUCGAGUGCUGAGUCAGAAUAUAGAGCUAUGGCACAAUCUGUGUGUGAAAUAGUAUGGAUUCACCAACUAUUAUCUGAGAUAGGCUUCAGUAUUACCGUGCCGGCUAAAUUAUGGUGUGAUAAUCAAGCUGCACUUCAUAUCGCAUCUAAUCCAGUAUUUCAUGAAAGAACUAAACAUAUUGAGGUGGAUUGUCACUUCAUUCGUGAGAAAAUCCAAGAUGGGUUGGUGUCCACAGGAUAUGUGAAGACCGGAGAACAAUUGGGAGAUAUUCUAACUAAAGCUUUAAAUGGAACAAGGAUAAGCUAUCUGUGCAACAAGCUGGGCAUGAUCGACAUAUUUGCUCCAGCUUGAGGGGGAGUGUUAUGAUAUAUAUAUAUAUACAUAUGUCCUUUAUUGUAAUUUUACUUAGUCUCUAGGGUUUAGUUUAUUCUCUAUAUAAAUAUGUAACAUUGCUUUGACUCAAUCAGAAUAAGACAUAUACGUUUCUGAAUUCUAAAUUACAAGAUGGAACGAUAUCUUAGCUUCGGAAA